Molecule: ribosomal RNA, 253 nt
Filed under: uncultured bacterium
Lineage: Bacteria
Description: partial 16S ribosomal RNA
Rfam family: Bacterial small subunit ribosomal RNA
Source: RNAcentral
UACGUAGGUGGCAAGCGUUGUCCGGAUUUACUGGGUGUAAAGGGCGUGUAGCCGGGCUGACAAGUCAGAUGUGAAAUCCGGGGGCUCAACCCCCGAACUGCAUUUGAAACUGUUGGUCUUGAGUAUCGGAGAGGCAGGCGGAAUUCCUAGCGUAGCGGUGAAAUGCGUAGAUAUAUGGAGGAACACCGGUGGCGAAAGCGGCUCUCUGGCCUGUAACUGACACUGAGGCUCGAAAGCGUGGGGAGCAAACAGG